RNAcentral lists this long non-coding RNA (350 nucleotides) under Lathyrus oleraceus (garden pea). RNAcentral's name for it is "Pisum sativum (pea) long non-coding RNA (PSAT_LNC021635)". Lineage: Eukaryota; Viridiplantae; Streptophyta; Magnoliopsida; Fabales; Fabaceae. The record is from RNAcentral.
ACUUGUGCAUCACGCUUUUGGAAUGGCUAGCAAGGUCGUUCCAUAUUAUGGUAAUGGAAUUCGGCCACGUGUGUUGCCUACGUUCGGAUUGGAUCCACUGUAAAUUAUGUUGAUUUCUCGCUCCUUCUCACGACUUGUGGUUGUUUUGCAGGUUGGAACAUCGUGUCGGUUUUGUUCCUAAUGCGCAUUGUCAUCUUGUUUGUCCCCUGAGGUGCUUUCAUGACAGAGAUACCUCCCCAUUUCCCAUUUUAUGCACUGCUAUUAAUGUCUAUGAUAAUACACAUCUCGCAGCAAGUUCAUGAUCAUGGUAAGUCUUUGUUGUUGAUUGCAAAGUCUACUCGUGGUUGAAC